This 503-nucleotide ribosomal RNA is filed under the name uncultured bacterium. RNAcentral's name for it is "SSU rRNA". It matches the Rfam family "Bacterial small subunit ribosomal RNA", at positions 26 to 517 of the family's 1533-position model. The record is from RNAcentral.
AGGACGAACGCUGGCGGCGUGCCUAACACAUGCAAGUGGAGCGACGAACCAGGCUUCGGCCUGGGGCAGAGCCGCGAACGGGUGAGUAACACGUGGGUAACCUGCCCUGAUGAUUGGGACAACCCGAGGAAACUCGGGCUAAUACCAAAUGUGCCCUCCGGCCUCAAGGCCUGUGGGGAAAGGAAGCUUCGGCCUCCGCAUCGGGAUGGGCCCGCGGCCCAUUAGCUUGUUGGUGAGGUAAUGGCUCACCAAGGCUACGAUGGGUAGCUGGUCUGAGAGGACGAUCAGCCACACUGGGACUGAGACACGGCCCAGACUCCUACGGGAGGCAGCAGUGGGGAAUCUUGCGCAAUGCGCGAAAGCGUGACGCAGCAACGCCGCGUGGGGGAAGAAGGCCUUCGGGUGUAAACCCUUUCAGUUGGGACGAAGCUUCGCCGGUGAACAGCCGGCUGGAGUGACGGUACCUUCAGAAGAAGCCCCGGCUAACUACGUGCCAGCAGCCG